UCAGCCUCCCAAAGAGUUGGAAUUAUAGGCAUGAUCCACCAUACCCAGCCUAUAUUUCUAAGGUGUUCCAGGAAAGUGGUCUAGACGCAGAACACGAAAGAGAGUUCUUGGAUCUCCCUUCUUAUACAAGAAAGAACUUGGCACAGAGUCCAACAAAAUACAGUGAAACCAAGUUUAUUGGAGAAGUAAAGAAACAAAGGAACGACUACUCCAUAGGCAGAACAGGAUGUUCCCAAAAGCGAGAGGAAGAAGCUGCCCACCUUUAUGUACAGUGCUUGUUUAUAUAUGACAAAGGAAAAAAGUCACGGGGGAGGUGUGCUCUACUCCAAGGGCUUGUGAGGAAGGAUUCUUAAUCUUUGUGUAACUACGGACUUUUAAGAACCUAUAUUAUUAUCUUUAAAGUGAGACUUAGUCUCAAAUGAAGAAUGCUUUUGUCCUAAGAUAUUAGAACAUCAGGACGUUUCCUUGGUCUCUAUUAAGUCCUGGGCCUGUUCGGUAAACAUUAUUAAUCUGUUCCCUUAACUGUAAACAUCUUGUGACUAAGAAUGCCUACUCCUGGGAAUGGAGCUCAGUAAGUGUCAGCCUCACUUUAUCCAGGCCCCCACUCAAGAUGGGGUGGCUGUGGUUGGAAGGCUCCUGACACAGUAGUGGGGGAAGGGAUGGG
This 664-nucleotide long non-coding RNA is filed under the name Callithrix jacchus (white-tufted-ear marmoset). RNAcentral describes it as "lncRNA (ENSCJAG00000052440.2)". The record is from RNAcentral. Lineage: Eukaryota; Metazoa; Chordata; Mammalia; Primates; Cebidae.